UGAUAUUUAACAGGUGGUAGGCAGACAUAGUGAUAGGAACGAAACAACUAGCAUGGCAAUGAUAGUAACGGUAUCUGGGGAAAUGGUCAUCUUGCCUGGGAUCCCGCUUGGAAUAAGAAUGACUGCGUGAAGCAGACAAACCGAUUUAGUUGAACGGAUCCUCACACUCCGAAGCGGUCGGAACUCUAUGGAGACGAAGCAAACCGGAAAUAAGAAUCA
RNAcentral lists this long non-coding RNA (219 nucleotides) under Hordeum vulgare. RNAcentral describes it as "long non-coding RNA (HVUL_LNC016142)". Lineage: Eukaryota; Viridiplantae; Streptophyta; Magnoliopsida; Poales; Poaceae. The record is from RNAcentral.